RNAcentral lists this unclassified non-coding RNA (215 nucleotides) under Glomeraceae sp. RNAcentral describes it as "partial contains 5.8S ribosomal RNA and internal transcribed spacer 2". The stretch from base 1 to 71 matches the Rfam family "5.8S ribosomal RNA", at positions 84 to 154 of the family's 154-position model. Lineage: Eukaryota; Fungi; Glomeromycota; Glomeromycetes; Glomerales; Glomeraceae. The record is from RNAcentral.
GUGAAUCAUCGAAUCUUUGAACGCAAAUUGCACUCCCUGGUAUUCCGGAGAGUAUGCCUGUUUGAGGGUCAGUGUAACUAACAACCGGAGUGGUUGCUGCCUUUCGUGGUGAGGCACUGGAGUUGGGUCGUCUUGCCUUCGGGUAGGGUGCGUAAUAUUUUGCAUGUUUUUUUUCGAAUGUAUGUGUAUGAUUUUAGGUACGCUUGGGAUUUGGA